This 2782-nucleotide ribosomal RNA is filed under the name Campylobacter jejuni. Its description in RNAcentral is "partial 23S ribosomal RNA". It matches the Rfam family "Bacterial large subunit ribosomal RNA", at positions 306 to 2925 of the family's 2925-position model. Lineage: Bacteria; Pseudomonadati; Campylobacterota; Epsilonproteobacteria; Campylobacterales; Campylobacteraceae. The record is from RNAcentral.
CUGCAAUGUGCAAGAGGUAAGUUUAGCAGAACAUUCUGGAAAGUAUAACCAUAGAGGGUGAUAGUCCCGUAUGCGAAAAACAAACCUUAGCUAGCAGUAUCCUGAGUAGGGCGGGACACGAGGAAUCCUGUCUGAAUCCGGGUCGACCACGAUCCAACCCUAAAUACUAAUACCAGAUCGAUAGUGCACAAGUACCGUGAGGGAAAGGUGAAAAGAACUGAGGUGAUCAGAGUGAAAUAGAACCUGAAACCAUUUGCUUACAAUCAUUCAGAGCCCUAUGUAGCAAUACAGGGUGAUGGACUGCCUUUUGCAUAAUGAGCCUGCGAGUUGUGGUGUCUGGCAAGGUUAAGCAAACGCGAAGCCGUAGCGAAAGCGAGUCUGAAUAGGGCGCUUAGUCAGAUGCUGCAGACCCGAAACGAAGUGAUCUAUCCAUGAGCAAGUUGAAGCUAGUGUAAGAACUAGUGGAGGACUGAACCCAUAGGCGUUGAAAAGCCCCGGGAUGACUUGUGGAUAGGGGUGAAAGGCCAAUCAAACUUCGUGAUAGCUGGUUCUCUCCGAAAUAUAUUUAGGUAUAGCGUUGUGUCGUAAUAUAAGGGGGUAGAGCACUGAAUGGGCUAGGGCAUACACCAAUGUACCAAACCCUAUCAAACUCCGAAUACCUUAUAUGUAAUCACAGCAGUCAGGCGGCGAGUGAUAAAAUCCGUCGUCAAGAGGGAAACAACCCAGACUACCAGCUAAGGUCCCUAAAUCUUACUUAAGUGGAAAACGAUGUGAAGUUACUUAAACAACCAGGAGGUUGGCUUAGAAGCAGCCAUCCUUUAAAGAAAGCGUAAUAGCUCACUGGUCUAGUGAUUUUGCGCGGAAAAUAUAACGGGGCUAAAGUAAGUACCGAAGCUGUAGACUUGCACACAACUUAGAUUAUUUAAGUUUAGAAUAUGAGAAACUAAGUUAUAUGUUUAGUUAUAUUUUUACUGAUUUUUAUAGAGUAAAGAUAGAAAUAAAACUUAGUAAAAUCAGUAAAAAUAUUCUUAGACUAAAGUUAAGUAGUUUAAGUUGUGUGCAAGUGGUAGGAGAGCGUUCUAUUUGCGUCGAAGGUAUACCGGUAAGGAGUGCUGGAGCGAAUAGAAGUGAGCAUGCAGGCAUGAGUAGCGAUAAUUAAUGUGAGAAUCAUUAACGCCGUAAACCCAAGGUUUCCUACGCGAUGCUCGUCAUCGUAGGGUUAGUCGGGUCCUAAGUCGAGUCCGAAAGGGGUAGACGAUGGCAAAUUGGUUAAUAUUCCAAUACCAACAUUAGUGUGCGAUGGAAGGACGCUUAGGGCUAAGGGGGCUAGCGGAUGGAAGUGCUAGUCUAAGGUCGUAGGAGGUUGUACAGGCAAAUCCGUAUAACAAUACUCCGAGAACUGAAAGGCUUUUUGAAGUCUUCGGAUGGAUAGAAGAACCCCUGAUGCCGUCGAGCCAAGAAAAGUUUCUAAGUUUAGCUAAUGUUGCCCGUACCGUAAACCGACACAGGUGGGUGGGAUGAGUAUUCUAAGGCGCGUGGAAGAACUCUCUUUAAGGAACUCUGCAAAAUAGCACCGUAUCUUCGGUAUAAGGUGUGGUUAGCUUUGUAUUAGGAUUUACUCCGAAAGCAAGGAAACUUACAACAAAGAGUCCCUCCCGACUGUUUACCAAAAACACAGCACUCUGCUAACUCGUAAGAGGAUGUAUAGGGUGUGACGCCUGCCCGGUGCUCGAAGGUUAAUUGAUGGGGUUAGCAUUAGCGAAGCUCUUGAUCGAAGCCCGAGUAAACGGCGGCCGUAACUAUAACGGUCCUAAGGUAGCGAAAUUCCUUGUCGGUUAAAUACCGACCUGCAUGAAUGGCGUAACGAGAUGGGAGCUGUCUCAAAGAGGGAUCCAGUGAAAUUGUAGUGGAGGUGAAAAUUCCUCCUACCCGCGGCAAGACGGAAAGACCCCGUGGACCUUUACUACAGCUUGACACUGCUACUUGGAUAAGAAUGUGCAGGAUAGGUGGGAGGCUUUGAGUAUAUGACGCCAGUUGUAUAUGAGCCAUUGUUGAGAUACCACUCUUUCUUAUUUGGGUAGCUAACCAGCUUGAGUUAUCCUCAAGUGGGACAAUGUCUGGUGGGUAGUUUGACUGGGGCGGUCGCCUCCCAAAUAAUAACGGAGGCUUACAAAGGUUGGCUCAGAACGGUUGGAAAUCGUUCGUAGAGUAUAAAGGUAUAAGCCAGCUUAACUGCAAGACAUACAAGUCAAGCAGAGACGAAAGUCGGUCUUAGUGAUCCGGUGGUUCUGUGUGGAAGGGCCAUCGCUCAAAGGAUAAAAGGUACCCCGGGGAUAACAGGCUGAUCUCCCCCAAGAGCUCACAUCGACGGGGAGGUUUGGCACCUCGAUGUCGGCUCAUCGCAUCCUGGGGCUGGAGCAGGUCCCAAGGGUAUGGCUGUUCGCCAUUUAAAGCGGUACGCGAGCUGGGUUCAGAACGUCGUGAGACAGUUCGGUCCCUAUCUGCCGUGGGCGUAAGAAGAUUGAAGAGAUUUGACCCUAGUACGAGAGGACCGGGUUGAACAAACCACUGGUGUAGCUGUUGUUCUGCCAAGAGCAUCGCAGCGUAGCUAAGUUUGGAAAGGAUAAACGCUGAAAGCAUCUAAGCGUGAAGCCAACUCUAAGAUGAAUCUUCUCUAAGCUCUCUAGAAGACUACUAGUUUGAUAGGCUGGGUGUGUAAUGGAUGAAAGUCCUUUAGCUGACCAGUACUAAUAGAGCGUUUGGCUUAUCUUUAAUAAAGCAU